Molecule: long non-coding RNA, 209 nt
Filed under: Elaeis guineensis (African oil palm)
Lineage: Eukaryota; Viridiplantae; Streptophyta; Magnoliopsida; Arecales; Arecaceae
Description: long non-coding RNA (EGUI_LNC060402)
Source: RNAcentral
UGACUGAGGGGUUAUUGAUAGGAGUGUCCUUCCUCGUUGAGACGAGGUCCCUUGGGUCUUUGAUGUAGUUUGUCUUUCACUUAUCGCUGGUGUAGUUCGUUGCUUUCCCUUUUCAUCUCUCCCUCUCUUUUUUUUGUGUUCGAGUGAGGGUUUUCCCUCAGCUCUUAACGGGAGGAGCCAUUGAGGAGGCUUUCCUCCUCGUCCAGUCU